GAUCCUGGCUCAGGAUGGACGCUAGCUACAGGCUUAACACAUGCAAGUCGAGGGGCAGCAUGGUCUUAGCUUGCUAAGGCUGAUGGCGACCGGCGCACGGGUGAGUAACACGUAUCCAACCUGCCGUCUGCUCUUGGCCAGCCUUCUGAAAGGAAGAUUAAUCCAGGAUGGCAUCAUGAGUUCACAUGUCCGCAUGAUUAAAGGGUAUUUUCCGGUAGACGA
Molecule: ribosomal RNA, 222 nt
Filed under: uncultured bacterium
Lineage: Bacteria
Description: partial 16S ribosomal RNA
Rfam family: Bacterial small subunit ribosomal RNA
Source: RNAcentral